Non-coding RNA from Marasmius sp. AFHP31, 92 nucleotides. Lineage: Eukaryota; Fungi; Basidiomycota; Agaricomycetes; Agaricales; Marasmiaceae. The record is from the annotation of a GenBank genome assembly.
UCCGUUAUGGUGUAGUGGCUAACAUUAUCGCCUCUCAUUUGUUUGCUAUUCAUUGAACGCGAUAGCCCAGGGUUCGAUUCCCUGUAACGGAC